GAUGAACGCUGGCGGCGUGCCUAAUACAUGCAAGUCGAGCGAACGGACGAGAAGCUUGCUUCUCUGAUGUUAGCGGCGGACGGGUGAGUAACACGUGGAUAACCUACCUAUAAGACUGGGAUAACUUCGGGAAACCGGAGAUAAUACCGGAUAAUAUUUUGAACCGCAUGGUUCAAAAGUGAAAGACGGUCUUGCUGUCACUUAUAGCUGGAUCCGCGCUGCAUUAGCUAGUUGGUAAGGUAACGGCUUACCAAGGCAACGAUGCAUAGCUGACCUGAGAGGAUGAUCAGCCACACUGGAACUGAGACACGGUCCAGACUCCUACGGGAGGCAGCAGUGGGGAAUCUUGCGCAAUGGGCGAAAGCCUGACGGAGCAACGCCGCGUGAGUGAUGAAGGUCUUCGGAUCGUAAAGCUCUGUUAUUAGGGAAGAACAUAUGUGGAAUAAAACGUGCACAUCUUGACGGUACCUAAUGAGAAAGCCACGGCUAACUACGUG
This 497-nucleotide ribosomal RNA is filed under the name uncultured bacterium. Its description in RNAcentral is "partial 16S ribosomal RNA". It matches the Rfam family "Bacterial small subunit ribosomal RNA", at positions 28 to 507 of the family's 1533-position model. The record is from RNAcentral.